GCCCCAGUAGCAUAGUCAGGUAAUGCGCCUGCCUCGUAAGCAGGAGAUCGUGGGUUCAAAUCCCACCUGGGGCU
RNAcentral lists this transfer RNA (74 nucleotides) under Thermoproteota archaeon. RNAcentral's name for it is "Crenarchaeota archaeon (sediment metagenome) tRNA-Thr". It matches the Rfam family "tRNA". From Rfam's summary of the family: Transfer RNA (tRNA) molecules are approximately 80 nucleotides in length. Their secondary structure includes four short double-helical elements and three loops (D, anti-codon, and T loops). Further hydrogen bonds mediate the characteristic L-shaped molecular structure. tRNAs have two regions of fundamental functional importance: the anti-codon, which is responsible for specific mRNA codon recognition, and the 3' end, to which the tRNAs corresponding amino acid is attached (by aminoacyl-tRNA synthetases). tRNAs cope with the degeneracy of the genetic code in two manners: having more than one tRNA (with a specific anti-codon) for a particular amino acid; and 'wobble' base-pairing, i.e. permitting non-standard base-pairing at the 3rd anti-codon position. The record is from RNAcentral. Lineage: Archaea; Thermoproteati; Thermoproteota.